RNAcentral lists this ribosomal RNA (253 nucleotides) under uncultured bacterium. RNAcentral's name for it is "partial 16S ribosomal RNA". It matches the Rfam family "Bacterial small subunit ribosomal RNA", at positions 524 to 775 of the family's 1533-position model. The record is from RNAcentral.
UACGUAGGGCGCGAGCGUUGUCCGGAUUUAUUGGGCGUAAAGAGCUCGUAGGCGGCUUGUCGCGUCAACUGUGAAAACCCGUGGCUCAACCAUGUGGUCUGCAAGUCGAUACGGGCAGGGCUAGAAUUCGGUAGGGGAGACUGGAAUUCCUGGUGUAGCGGUGAAAUGCGCAGAUAUCAGGAGGAACACCGGUGGCGAAGGCGGGUCUCUGGGCCGAUAUGACGUGAGGAGCGAAAGCGUGGGGAGCAACAGG